UACGAUUGAUAGCCCUUGACGAUGCGUUGCGGAAAGAGAUUUAAGAUCAAAUUGUUGGCGCUAUGGUUGGACCGACGCGUUGACGUGUGAGUGGCCGUUUGAUUGUUUGUGUUGGCUGGCUCCCUGCUCGUGCAGCGAACUGUCGAUGCUACAUCUUUUCAGUCCCGAAGGAGGCGCGAUCUGCGCCUGCGAAUGUUGGAUUCUUGUGUUGCCUACCCAAUUGAAGGUAUUCUUCGUGUCCCGAUGCCUUAUCUUUCGCCGAACACCGCAUGCGGUGCUAGGCGGACGCCGAAGCGUUCCCUUUUCGGUCCAUGCUCACACCCUCAUCGGGAAGCAUGGCGAAUUGGCGAAUUUUGCUUGUUGCCUCGGAUACAGAGCACGAAGCGAGCAUGGCGGGCUAUGCCCUCAUCGCUCAUUCGGAGCUCUUUUUCGCUCGGAAAGAAGAACCGUCGUGCUCGGAUUUGACUGCCGACUUGUCGGCAUAGCCCAUCUCCGAGCCGACGUCUCGAACGAAUGCUACCUGGUGAU
This 528-nucleotide unclassified non-coding RNA is filed under the name Dudleya pulverulenta. Its description in RNAcentral is "partial contains external transcribed spacer and 18S ribosomal RNA". The record is from RNAcentral. Lineage: Eukaryota; Viridiplantae; Streptophyta; Magnoliopsida; Saxifragales; Crassulaceae.